AGUGAACGCUGGCGGCGUGCCUAAUACAUGCAAGUCGAACGAUGAAGUCCUAGCUUGCUAGGAUGGAUUAGUGGCGCACGGGUGAGUAAUAUAUAGUUAAUCUGCCCUACACAGGGGAACAACAGUUGGAAACGACUGCUAAUACCUCAUACUCCUAUUUGACAUAAGUUAAAUAGGGAAAGUCUUUUCGGUGUAGGAUGAGACUAUAUCGUAUCAGCUAGUUGGUAAGGUGAUGGCUUACCAAGGCUAUGACGCGUAACUGGUCUGAGAGGAUGAUCAGUUACAGUGGAACUGACACACGGUACACACUCCUACGGGAGGAAGCAGGAAGGAAUAUUGAGCAAUGGAAGACACACGGACGAAGCAACGCCGCGUGGAGAAUGACACUGUUCGGAGCGUAAACUCCUUUUAUCAGGAAAGAAUAAUGACGGUACCUGAUGAAUAAGCACCGGCUAACUACGUG
RNAcentral lists this ribosomal RNA (463 nucleotides) under uncultured bacterium. RNAcentral describes it as "partial 16S ribosomal RNA". It matches the Rfam family "Bacterial small subunit ribosomal RNA", at positions 29 to 507 of the family's 1533-position model. The record is from RNAcentral.